This 65-nucleotide transfer RNA is filed under the name Dipodomys ordii (Ord's kangaroo rat). It matches the Rfam family "tRNA". Rfam says of the family: Transfer RNA (tRNA) molecules are approximately 80 nucleotides in length. The record is from Rfam by way of RNAcentral. Lineage: Eukaryota; Metazoa; Chordata; Mammalia; Rodentia; Heteromyidae.
GGUGGCUCAAUGGUAGAGCGCUUGCCUUGCAUGCACUAGGCCCUAGGUUCGAUUCCUCAGCACCA